RNAcentral lists this ribosomal RNA (440 nucleotides) under uncultured bacterium. Its description in RNAcentral is "bacterial SSU rRNA". It matches the Rfam family "Bacterial small subunit ribosomal RNA", at positions 29 to 480 of the family's 1533-position model. The record is from RNAcentral.
AACAAACGCUGGCGGCGUGCCUAAUACAUGCAAGUCGAACGGGGAAAGUAGCAAUACGAGUACUAGUGGCGCACGGGUGAGGAAUACAUGGGUAAUCUGCCCUCGAGCUCGGGAUAACCAGUCGAAAGACUGGCUAAUACCGGAUAUGACCACAAGAUCUGAGGAUCAAGGGGUAAAAGGUUUUUCGCUUGAGGAUGAGCCCAUGUGGGAUUAGCUAGUUGGUGUAGGUAACGGCUCACCAAGGCGACGAUCCCUAACUGGUCUUAGAGGAUGAUCAGUCACACUGGAACUGAGACACGGUCCAGACUCCUACGGGAGGCAGCAGUAGGGAAUAUUGCACAAUGGAGGAAACUCUGAUGCAGCGACGCCGCGUGAGUGAUGAAGGCCUUCGGUCGGUAAGACUACUGUCGUAUGGGACUAACGAAAAUAGAAAGGUACCG